This 462-nucleotide ribosomal RNA is filed under the name uncultured bacterium. RNAcentral's name for it is "bacterial SSU rRNA". It matches the Rfam family "Bacterial small subunit ribosomal RNA", at positions 29 to 506 of the family's 1533-position model. The record is from RNAcentral.
AUGAACGCUGGCGGCAUGUCUAAGGCAUGCAAGUUGAACGGAUUGUUGAUCUUCGGAAAAAUAAUUAGUGGCAAACGGGAGCGGAACACAUUGGUAACCUACCUCGAACUCGUGAAUAACUAUUGGAAACGAUAGCUAAUACACGAUAUGGAUGAAUUGACUUCGGUCAUUUCAUUGAAAGAUUUAUCGGUUCGAGAGGGGCCUAUGUCCUAUCAGCUAGUUGGUGAGGUAAUGGCUCACCAAGGCUACGACGGGUACCGGGCGUGAGAGCGUGGCCCGGCUCACUGGGACUGAGACACUGCCCAGACUCCUACGGGAGGCUGCAGUCAAGAAUCUUCCGCAAUGCACGAAAGUGUGACGGAGCAAUGCCGCGUGCUCGAAGAAGGCCUUCGGGUCGUAAAGAGCUUUUAUAAGGGACGAACAAAUGACGGUACCUUAUGAAUAAGAGGUUGCUAACUCUGU